ACAAUGGAAUCCAUUGGUUUGAUUCACUUUCGUACAAAAUUUCUCUACUCUCUGUGGAUUUGAAGGUUCUUUUUUUUGGUUUAGCAAAGAAACUGAUCGUAGCUUUGUUUUGGUUCCUUGACAGGGAUACGACGGUUGAUGCUUUAAACACUUUCGUCUGCGAAACUGGUACCGGGAAACAUGUUCCCAGAGCUCUAUUUAUCAUUCUCGAGCCCACUGUUGCGGUUAUGGUGCGUUGAAGUUUUGAGCUAGAGAUCUCCCUCAAAUGUCUCCAUUUUUUCUUUCAUAACUCGAAGUCGCCAUUGCUCUUUUUGCAGGUCCACCUAACGAAUCUAGAACAUAUUAAUGAGAACCACAUGCAUUAAGGAACAUAAGGAAUUGGUAAUGAGGAAUCUGGCGAGCCCACCAGCAGCACGAAGAAAGGAGCAAAAUGUGGUGGCGACGGAAUCAGAGCAGAUACACGUGUCACACAUGAUGUGUGAUCUGUUUGGAUGAUGUCGAUGUAAACAUCGUUACGAUUCUGGUGGGAUGCAAGCGAGUGUUAGUAAAGGAGAAAAUUUUAGGGCUUAAAUAUUUGGUAUCAUGCAGUUUUGAUAUUCUUCCGUUUUCUUUCGGAUUAACGAGAAAAUCUUUUUCAACUCUUAUUAGUUAGUGACAAACACUUGAGUUGCUAUUUCUUUGUGGUAAUUAUUUUCUACUGUCUAGGACCUAGCUUCAGUUUGGUCUUUCAUAUUUUUUAUCUGUAUUCUUAUAACCUUAUAGAAAGGUUGGUGAUAUUAUUUUUAACUUUGGGAUCAAUAUAUAUACGUUUGCCUUUCUUAUAUAGUGUUCUAAAUUUAUAAAUCCUCUCAUAAACAAAAAAAAAUCCAUGCAGACAUAAUCACUAGAUUGGUAUUAUACAUAAACUAAACAAUGAUUUGAUGAAGUAAUAAAAACUAUGAACUAGAAAAUUUACGUGGAGAAUUUCUAGAUUCGUGUACUAUAAUUUUUACAUGAACCAUUUUCAGAUUUAAAAAUCCAUGCAGACAUAAUCACUAGGUGUUUCAUGCAGACAUAAUCAUCUUAUAAUUAUUUAUUAAUACAUAUAUUUUCAAAUUUUAAAUAUAACAUCGAAUUAUUUAUAUAUGACAAACAAAAUAAAUUAUUGAAAACAGUGAAUAUUCAAUUUUAUAAUAUGAAAUCAUAUUAUAAAAAUAUCCAAAAGCUAAAUCUCAUGUAUAUGUCUAAUUAUAUCGUAUUAUAAUAUUUAAAUAAAAACCCGCGUAGUGCGGACACAAAUCUAGAAUUCAAGUAACCUUUUAAGACUUCAUUAUAACAUAACUACCAAAACAAACAACAACAAUUGUUUAUAAUGGAAAUUCCUAACAUUUUCGCGAAGAAAUAUAAUAACUUUGACACAUGGUUCCUCUAAAUUAAAACCUCAUUCUUCAGUAUUUUAUAAACACUCGCAGAAAAUGGUAUUAGAAAUUUCGAUCUCAUUUUCUUUUGAUCGAAUCCGAUUGAUUUAUGUAUUUUAUAGUAUUAUAAAACUGAAAAAUUAUAAAAGCUUACAAUUCAGAAUUAAAGCAGCAAAAAUACUAAGAAUUCAAUUACUUUUAGUUUUAUAGUUGAAAUUUGGUAUAUGCAACAUAAUCAUACUCACACACAACUUAACAUAAGAGAAAACUGCGAAAUGGCCAAAAUACUACAUUUAUAAUACCACUUUUCAUGUUUACACUAACCGCUUUUCCCAUCGUUUUUAAAGAGGGAAAAAACAUUUAUAACAUUAGGGUUAAUUAAUUUAGACUUAGGGUUUAGAGUUGAGGGGUAGGAUAGAGUUUUUGGAAUGUAAAAUUUAGGAUUCUAAUAAAUAAAUAAAUACUUAAAAUUAUAUAAAAAUAGUUUCAAAAGAAUUUUCAAUUUUCAAAAAGAAAUUUUGAAAAAAAAUUCAAAAAAAAAAAUUUAUAAAAAAGUUCGAAUUUGAAAAAGCGUAAUUCGAAAAAGUUAAAAAAUUAAUUCAUUUAAAUAACUAUUUAUUAUAUAUAGAGAGAAAAUGGUAUAAGAAUCUUUUGUCUUUUAAUGAAUAAGAUAUUUUGAAAAUGUCUUUUUAUUAGUGGUAAACAUAGAAAAUAGUACCAACAAAGUGGUAAACAUGAAAAUUUCCCAAAAAAAAUUUGCACAAAAUUAUAUAUAUUUUUAAACCCGGUCUAUCAAAUCCCGCGCGUAGCGCGGACCGACCCUAGUAAAUUAUAAAGUAGACCAUCCCCUCAUUCUUAAAAGGACACGUCAGAUAACAGUUUCGCCGGACGUCGACACGUGUCUAUUUUCUUUAAAACUUUGCGUUUCAUUUAAUCAGUUCUGGAUUUAUUUGGGCAUCACUUCGUUGGGCUGAAUCUACCCUUACUUAAGCCCAUAUCAUUCUAUAUCUACACUAGCUGUAAUUAAACGUUGCGUUUUUUAUUAGGGUUUGGGGUGUGUCCAUCUUUGCGUCUCCAUUCCCUGCCGAUCUUUCAUCAUCUUCCUUCCGGUGAGAGAUGAUACAGUAACUGAAUUUCUCUCAUAAAGCCCUCCAUUAAUUGAUCACCCAUGAUCUAUAUUCAAUGCGACUCUUGAGACUACAAGGCGGUAGACGUUCUACUAUAAAAAGUCUGGCUGCUCUUCCUCCACCGUUUAAGUUUGCCUGCUCUGUUUCUGGGAGACCGGGAAUGCACGCCGUGGUGGAGAUCUCAUGGGAGUCGACAUGCUCCUUCUUGAUUCUCAGCAACCAUGAUGCCGGCCACCAUUGAUGUCAACCGGCUGGCGACCCACCGGCCUAACCUGAAAGCGGGUUCGGUUUAUUCUCUAACUGGGUUUGAUGUUGCUCGGUGUAACCCAAAUUACCGUCUAUCGGAUUCUUCCUUGCUAAUCUGGUUUAGCGACUCAACCUAUUUCAAAGAGGUUACUGAUCCAGCUGUUCCGUCUCCUCCUGAAUCAUUUCGCUUCCGUAACCACAGUGAGAUGCUUGGUCUCGCUAACACUAACAAUCAGCUUCCAGACCUCAUUGGUGAUAUUACUGAUGUGAAGAGCACUGUCACUGACCCUCCCCAGGGUUCCAGUUAUGUUGGAAAAUGACUAUGAGCCUCUUCGACGCUCAGGCUGUUAAUAUUCAUAAUCAAUUAGAAAAGAUGAGAGGUGAUCCAAGAGUUGUGGUUGCAACCAGCGUCAACCCGAAGAUGGGGGGUGGGGGGUCGGAUAUUUUUGAAUGCCACUUCCGGCACACAUAUUUACUUCGACAAAGAGACAUCAGCAUGGGAGAGUUUCUUCUACAGUCUGGUUGAACAAGACAUUGGAGUUACGCCAGCAGCUCCACUGCUAAGGGGCUAUGCAAAGGUGGAAGUGCUGAGCAUAGCUGAGCUCAAUAACCGCUCCCUCUCAGGUAUGCAGCCAGAAUUACAUUGUUAUCUUUUUCAUAGAUAGAUUUCUUAGGUUACCUGAGCAAUCUGAUUUCCCAACCAUGUCGGACAUUGAUUUUAUCUGUAACGAGAGAGUGACUGAUAUCAAGAUGGAUAAGGGGUGGUGCUAUGUUUCAUUCUCAAGUUGUGCCAAGAAACUUCAACGCACGGCCUCAUCUUUCACAUGUGUGCCUUUCAAUAAUACUUACGCAGUUGGUGUCCUCCGAUAUCGUGUCGAGAUGUCUGUUGCAGACGAGACUGGUGAAGAGUUGUUUGUUUGCUUUGAUGGGGUUAUGACGAAGCUCCAUAACAUGAGGGCCUAUGAGGCUGGCCAUCUCUUGGUAUCAUCUUCAUAAACUGUCGUCCACUCUUUGUGUUGACUACUUAUUCAUUCAGUCACAUUCAACCAAUUAUACACAUGCUGGUGAUGGUGUCAACCCGGAGGACUGAGGCCCCUCCUUUUGUUCCAGGGGGGGGUGACAAUGACAAUGGAGAUGACAACCACGGUGGCAACUCAGACAGUGCCUGUUAAGGUGGAAGUAGCAAGGUUGAUGGAGCUACUGGGAAGGUGAAGAAAGCACACAAGGCAUAAGUGAAGCCAAUUGAUGUCGAGGAUGCUGUUUUCCCGUUUGCGUUUUUGCUUUUUAGUCUUUCUGAAUAAGUUUGCAUUUUUCUUUUUGCUGUUUGAAACUUCUACAUUUAGUUCUUGCUUAUCAGUUAUAAAAUCUAUUCCAUUUCAGAAA
This is a long non-coding RNA of Brassica napus (rape), 4153 nucleotides long. RefSeq lists it as uncharacterized. The transcript has 9 exons. Lineage: Eukaryota; Viridiplantae; Streptophyta; Magnoliopsida; Brassicales; Brassicaceae. The record is from RefSeq and is a predicted model, not a curated record.